Molecule: long non-coding RNA, 427 nt
Organism: Gallus gallus (chicken)
Lineage: Eukaryota; Metazoa; Chordata; Aves; Galliformes; Phasianidae
Source: Ensembl
GAAAUGAUUCGGGCAGGUCUGCUGUUGGAUGGGGUCACCGGGGAGGUGCUGGUGUGAUGCAGAAGGAGACUUUUGUCAGCCUUCUUAACGAGGCAGAAUUGCCUCACUUCCUCAGAUAUGGAAAUGCCUCUUUGUUAAAGCAAGGCCCCGUCCCUUAUCUCUGGGUUUGGACAGCUCUGCUUUUGGCACUUUGCUGUGUGAAAGGACUCCACGCACCUCAACGUGCACACAAAGCCAGGAUCCAACGGGGGAAAAGUUUGCAACUCAGGAUUGGCUCCGAGCAGAGCAGGAGUGACCCCAUAUGGGGACACUGCAGGGCUCCUUCAGGACGGAGCUGCCUGGAACACCUCUGUAUUUGGGGAGAAACCCACAGAAGUCUGAUGGAUCCCCCCAAGUUCCCUUUCGUUCUGUUGAAUGUGAAUGUUGC